This 255-nucleotide ribosomal RNA is filed under the name uncultured bacterium. Its description in RNAcentral is "partial 16S ribosomal RNA". It matches the Rfam family "Bacterial small subunit ribosomal RNA", at positions 524 to 776 of the family's 1533-position model. The record is from RNAcentral.
UACGUAGGGUGCAAGCAUUAUCCGGAGUGACUGGGCGUAAAGAGUUGCGUAGGUGGUUUGUUAAGUGAAUAGUGAAAUCCGACGGCUCAACCGUACGGACUAUUAUUCAAACUGGCAAACUCGAGAAUGGUAGAGGUAACUGGAAUUUCUAGUGUAGGAGUGAAAUCCGUAGAUAUUAGAAGGAACACCAAUGGCGUAGGCAGGUUACUGGACCAUUUCUGACACUGAGGCACGAAAGCGUGGGGAGCGAACCGG